UACCCUACGGGGGGCAGCAGUGGGGGAUAUUGCACAAUGGGGGAAACCCUGAUGCAGCGACGCCGCGUGUGGGAAGACGGUCUUCUGGAUUGUAAACCACUGUCCCCAGGGACGAAAAUGACGGUACCUGGGGAGGAAGCUCCGGCUAACUACGUGCCAGCAGCCGCGGUAAUACGUAGGGAGCAAGCGUUGUCCGGAAUUACUGGGUGUAAAGGGAGCGUAGGCGGGGAUGCAAGUUGGGUGUCAAAACUACCGGCUCAACCGGUACAGGCUCUGGAAACUGGCGGGCUAGAGAGCAGGAGAGG
RNAcentral lists this ribosomal RNA (305 nucleotides) under uncultured bacterium. Its description in RNAcentral is "bacterial SSU rRNA". It matches the Rfam family "Bacterial small subunit ribosomal RNA", at positions 335 to 657 of the family's 1533-position model. The record is from RNAcentral.